This 748-nucleotide long non-coding RNA is filed under the name Homo sapiens (human). RNAcentral describes it as "HSALNT0082315". Lineage: Eukaryota; Metazoa; Chordata; Mammalia; Primates; Hominidae. The record is from RNAcentral.
CAUUCUAAAUGGGGAGAAACGGCAAAGCUACCUUGCUGCUGCAGGAUUCUGCUCCCUUUUUCCUUAGAUCUAACUAUGUGGUCUUUUAUUUCAGACACUCGGCUGGGAAGUGAGAGACUCAAAACAACGUGAGAAGUAGAAAGCGGGAACCGUCAGCCAACUCAUAGCUGAAGCAGGGACACUGUGCAGCUCUUGGAGCUUGUUCUUAGUAUGUGUUCAGAGGGCUAAUACUCUGUCAAGCAGGGCGGAUGAUAGCCAGAGCAAACAGCCACGGUCCCCACGGUGGAAAAUAACGUUGCCAGGAAAUUCCGCACAUCUGGAAAGAACAGCAAUGAACAGGAACUUGUGCAUUCGUGCUAGGCUCCUACUGGGCCCGCUUCGUUUCAUUUCCUCCAUUUUUAUGACACUUUCCCAUGCUGCUACUCCAGACAUUCCAUCAAACACCUCGCCACGAACAAAUUGAAAGGGAAGGAAAUCUAAAGAAAGUCUGACUGAAUUUCUGAGUGUCUCAUCACUAGAAUGACCAGGAAAACCUGCCAGGAGUGUAGAUUCAGGCCCCUAAUCCCACUUCUCUGCAGUCUCCUCUUGGUCUCUGUGUAUAAGCUCUCCUGCCUUUUUGCACCUCUAAUCCAUUGUCAGACAAACUGGCCUACUUGUGUUUGCCUCUGAGAGCCUGUCCACUUCCUCACGUUAGGAGAAAGAACACAAAGAAUCCUAGCUUUGAUUCAGUUUUCCAUACUUCAGCCAU